RNAcentral lists this ribosomal RNA (1193 nucleotides) under Triticum aestivum (bread wheat). RNAcentral describes it as "partial small subunit ribosomal RNA". Lineage: Eukaryota; Viridiplantae; Streptophyta; Magnoliopsida; Poales; Poaceae. The record is from RNAcentral.
AGAGCGGGAUGAAGAGGAAGAGAGGCGAGCCUGAGCUGGAGUACGGGGCCUCGUCCGGGGUGGAUGAGAGGUCCAACGAGAGCAGCGACAAGAUGCAGGGCCAGCUCCUAGCCACUGCGCGCGGCGCCGACGGGGGCAAUGCCAAGUUCGCGUGGUAUGGCGCUCCAUCGGUGGAUGUGGCCGCGGCGGCGGUGGAGCACGGGUUCGGCAGGAUGAACAACCGGGUCCUUUUCCAUCGCGCGCACGGCGACGACGUCCACCUCUCGCCGCCUCGGUCUCCUUAUGCCAGCGCAAUGCUAGCAAAUGCAGAUGAGAACGGCGGGGCGCAUAUCAUGUUGUGUCGUGUUCUGUUGGGCCGGCCAGAGGCCAUCCCGGCCGGGUCCUCCAAGCUCCACCCCAGCAGUGACAAUUACGACAGUGCCAUCGACAACAUGCAAAACCCACAGUGGUAUGUUGUUUGGGGCAAGGACAUGAACAUGAGGAUCCUCCCAGAGUACGUCGUCAGCUUCAAGUGUCCCAACCUCCAUCAGAUGCAAGGAUCAUCGGGAGCGAACUCCACGCUAAAGAAGCCUUCGCCGGUGGCUCAUGACAUGUUUCCGACGCUUCUAGCAGAGAUCCAGUGGUUCAUGCCAUCUUCCAAGCUGCAGACAUUGUAGGGGACCUACAAUUGCUUCAAGCCAGCUGCAAUGAAGUCCUCCAUAGAGAAGGGUUUGCAGAAAAUGAUCUUGGCAUCCCAGAUAAGCAGGUCGGGGUCUAAGCCGGUGCCCGGGGGAUUUCAAUGGAUCACCAACACGAGAAACUGAAAUGGCAGGACCAGAAAAGAUGGUCCCAGAUCUCACUGCAGCCGGAUGUGCAAGAACACAUCAAUGAUCAUCUGUGAGACUGUGACACUGGAAUUUUGUUGAUGGAGCAUUACCUCUGCUAUUUAGCUUCUAGAGUACAAUGACUUGUAUGUCCAACUAUAACAGCUAGCAGCAUGGUUUAUCCCCUUCUGGUUGUACAAUUUCUCUAGAGUGAUGGCAUAGGAAGAGCAUGUGUAUAUGUUGAGGUUAGUCUUCUGAUACUAAUGCUCUAGAUGUUCUUUGUAAACUAAUGCUGCAAGUGUUUGUUUGGGACAAGACAAAUAGUGUCCCAAUUUUUACGAAAAUGUGAAUUAACUUUUAUUAAAAAUAAGAAAAUUACCAAAAUUAACC